Molecule: ribosomal RNA, 497 nt
Filed under: uncultured bacterium
Lineage: Bacteria
Description: partial 16S ribosomal RNA
Rfam family: Bacterial small subunit ribosomal RNA
Source: RNAcentral
GAUGAACGCUGGCGGCGUGCCUAAUACAUGCAAGUCGAGCGAACGGACGAGAAGCUUUCUUCUCUGAUGUUAGCGGCUGACGGGUGAGUAACACGUGGAUAACCUACCUAUAAGACUGGGAUAACUUCGGGAAACCGGAGCUAAUACCGGCUAAUAUUUUGAACCGCAUGGUUCAAAAGUGAAAGACGGUCUUGCUGUCACUUAUAGAUGGAUCCGCGCUGCAUUAGCUAGUUGGUAAGGUAACGGCUUACCAAGGCAACGAUGCAUAGCCGACCUGAGAGGAUGAUCGGCCACACUGGAACUGAGACACGGUCCAGACUCCUACGGGAGGCAGCAGUAGGGAAUCUUCCGCAAUGGGCGAAAGCCUGACGGAGCAACGCCGCGUGAGUGAUGAAGGUCUUCGGAUCGUAAAACUCUGUUAUUAGGGAAGAACAUAUGUGUAAGUAACUGUGCACAUCUUGACGGUACCUAAUCAGAAAGCCACGGCUAACUACGUG